This is an unclassified non-coding RNA of Erinaceus europaeus (western European hedgehog), 280 nucleotides long. Its record names the gene 7SK. It matches the Rfam family "7SK RNA". Rfam says of the family: 7SK was discovered as an abundant small nuclear RNA in the mid-70s but a possible function has only recently been suggested. Two independent studies have found that 7SK RNA binds the CDK9/cyclin T complex (known as elongation factor P-TEFb). P-TEFb activates transcription by phosphorylating the C-terminal domain of RNA polymerase II. The record is from Ensembl. NCBI's taxonomy places the organism in Eukaryota, Metazoa, Chordata, Mammalia, Eulipotyphla, Erinaceidae.
GGGUGUUAGGGUAAUCUGGCUGGCCAUACAGGUGUCCCGUUCCUUCCUCAUCACACCAUGUGCAUCCCUCCCAAAGCUGCAUACUUGGUCAGAGAGGUUGGUCUUCUCUAAAUAGAGAUGGACUGGUCUUCAGUCAAGGGUAUACAAGUAGCUGGCUCCCCUGCUAGAACCUCCAGACAAGCUCUCAGAAACCAUUGUCAAAUAAAUUAACUAAAUUCAUCAACUUUCCAAUUCUACUUAUUCUUCCAACUCCUUCCUUUCAGGCAGGGAAGUUCUUGAA